This 403-nucleotide long non-coding RNA is filed under the name Mytilus galloprovincialis (Mediterranean mussel). The record is from RNAcentral. Lineage: Eukaryota; Metazoa; Mollusca; Bivalvia; Mytilida; Mytilidae.
CAGAGAAACAGUAGAAAAAAGGAAGAAAGAUGAAAAAGAAGUUGGGUUGAAUAAGGACUUAGAAUCGAACAAAAACAGCUCAAAAAUUCAAAUGAGAACAGAUCUGUGACUGUGUCAAAUUCAAGAUCUACAGUGAGAAAACCUCCACAGCACACAAGAAAACAACUGCCACAAAACCCAAAUGCUUAUGAAUGAUCUCGUCUAGAAGGCCCUUUCUUCUUGGUGUAGCAUUUUUUAUGAUGUGUUUCAAAGUACUCGUCCAAGCAUUUGGGUUUUGUGGCAGUUGUUUUCUUGUGUGUUGUGCAGGUUUUCUCACUGUAGAUCUGGAAUCUGACACAGUCACAGAUCUGUUCUCAUUUGAAUUUUUGAGCUGUUUUUGUUCGAUUCUAAGUCCUUAUUCAAC